UACGUAGGGUGCGAGCGUUAAUCGGAAUUACUGGGCGUAAAGCGUGCGCAGGCGGUUUUGUAAGCCAGAUGUGAAAUCCCCGGGCUUAACCUGGGAAUGGCAUUCGGGACUGCAAGGCUCGAGUGCGGCAGAGGAGACUGGAAUUCCUGGUGUAGCAGUGAAAUGCGUAGAUAUCAGGAGGAACACCGAUGGCGAAGGCAGGUCUCUGGGCUGACACUGACGCUCAUGCACGAAAGCGUGGGGAGCAAACAGG
This 253-nucleotide ribosomal RNA is filed under the name uncultured bacterium. Its description in RNAcentral is "partial 16S ribosomal RNA". It matches the Rfam family "Bacterial small subunit ribosomal RNA", at positions 524 to 776 of the family's 1533-position model. The record is from RNAcentral.